This 1812-nucleotide long non-coding RNA is filed under the name Paramuricea clavata. Lineage: Eukaryota; Metazoa; Cnidaria; Anthozoa; Malacalcyonacea; Plexauridae. The record is from RNAcentral.
UGUUCUCGAGUUAUUUCACCGUAAAUAUUCAGUACGUCCGCCAUCUUGGAUCGAUUUUCAAAAAAAUUAUCUUUUGGGUCACAUGACCUGUGUGACGUCAAGAGCAGGGUAGAAUCAAAACAACAAAUAUAUUUUAUUAGGCGCAUAUUGCGACUUCGUACUUCUAGUGAGAAAUUUGGCGCUUUUUGAUUACUCGGAUGGAAAAUAUCCAUGAUAUCAAGUAGAUAAGGUAUUAUCUUAUCAAUUUGAACCUAAACUGGGCUUACAAACAAGCGAUAGCGGUGACGAGAGCGACUCCGAAGAACAGGCCGAACAGAGUGAAUCAUCUGACGAGGAAAUCACCAUGUGUUUGAGGUCGAAAAUGCUUGGCGCAUUGCACAUUGAAGCCAAAGGAUACUGAAUUGUUUUGUUGCCACGAUAAAGCAUUAGAAUACGAUGAAUAAGAUAUAUGAUUGAAGGAGGCUGAAACACAAGUGCUUGACUGCUUUUACAAGUGCAGAAUUCAAAGCGAACAUGCUGUCGGAAGGGCUAUUAAAUAGACGUUUGUCGCUAUCUUGAAGAUAUUAAACUGGCCUCUGGAUGACAAAGAUUUGGACAAGAUACACAAAAUUUAUAGACUAGUAGCUUACCAACGAUGUUCGCGUUGGGUAUUUCAGAUUUUGGGGAAUAAGAACAGAAGGCCAUUCCUGCGUCCCGUGCGUGCAUGUGUUUACACAAUAAUAGACAAUUCCCAUUAUAUAGAGUAAUUUAAAACUAGGCAAGGAGAUGCAAAUAAAUCACCACAGCUAUAGAAAGAGCAUACUAAAAUGAGUAAAAUUGCAAAGUUUAGUUGCGAAAUGUUGUAAAAUGCGGAACAUAUAGCCUUGCCAUGCAAAGUUCGCAAAUUUUGUAUACUUUUGUAUUGCGUGCGGAAAUUGCUACAUUUUCGGUCAAAUGUGGUAGUAAUUUCCGCACGCAAUACAAAAGUAUACAAAAUUUGCUACGUUUUCCGCAUUUUACAACAUUUCGCAACCAAGCUUUGCAAUGUUACUCAUUUUAGUAUGCUCUUUCUAGCUGUGGUGAUUUAUUUUCCUUGCCUAGUUUUAAAAUUAGUCUAUAAUGGGAAUUGUGUAUUCGAGAGCGGUUUGGGGCUUUGAGAUUGUUUGAAUGUUCAUUUAUUCAAAUUUGGCUAAAUCUAUGCUCUUUUAAUAAUAACUCUAGUAUGUGCCGAUUACAUGAAGCAUUUUCAAGCCUGGGGAUAAACUCGUUUACUGUUGACAGCGUUGGAAUUUGUUCAAUAAAGUAGUCCUCGGGUGCUCGAAACAGGUUUGAAAUUUAAUUUUUAACCUGAGCUCGUUUUUUAACUCAGCCCUUUGGCUGAAUUUUUUUGUUUAAUAAGAGCUUCAUAAAAAGACAGGGCUGCCAUUUCUGCCUAGUAUUAAAACAAGGCUGAGUCAAAAUCCAAGGUUGAAGAUGCUCUAAUUCCUCCGAUGCAAUCAGCUUUAUUAUAUUAAUGUGCAGCAUGCAACCCCAAUUUCCUACCACAAAUGUUAUUAUAAUUUGCAAUUGUCCUAUUAUCUAAUAAAGUGCAGUGGUGUAUAUAUUAAUGCUUUAUUAAAAUUUAGUUUAUAAACAAAGUUGUUCUCUCAUUAUUUAUAUCACAAAAACAUCAAAACGAUUUUUACACGCGAAUUGCAAAGAAUCAAAACAUAUUCUCAGUCAUUAAUAGUGUUUAUUUAUGCGAUAUUGUUCCUGUUGAUGUGGUCAUAGCCGUGAUCACCGAGAACAGUAAAUAUAAAAGUCUACAAAGUAGGCGAGCAUAUUGUCAUAUUG